CCCCUCUCAGGGUCGCAACUGGAAAGUUUUCCAUACUUUACCUUUCUCAACAAUAGGAGGGAGAGUCAAGCAGAGACAUAUCCAUUCCAUUCCUAGCUUGGCCAAUGGCUAGUGAGUGGAAGGCAAUCUGCUACAAGU
Molecule: small nucleolar RNA, 138 nt
Organism: Ornithorhynchus anatinus (platypus)
Lineage: Eukaryota; Metazoa; Chordata; Mammalia; Monotremata; Ornithorhynchidae
Source: RefSeq, a predicted model, not a curated record